AUUCUUCAGCCCCACGGGAUUUCUACGGUCUCCGGUCUAGCAAUGGGUAUGUUGACCCAUUCUACAAAAUGUGUCUAGAUGAGAGGUGUGAACAACUUUCCCUCAACACUUCUAAAAGGCAAAAAGAUUGGACUUAUCACAGCAAUUGUAGACAGAGAAGGAGUUUGAACCUCAUAUCCCGUGUAUGUCGCACUUCUAAAGACAUCACAUCACAUGUGCUAAUUUUGAUGGAGAUGCUAAUUCUGUGAGAGAGGUUGAGCGUUUGUUCUCGUAGCAGUUCUUUGUUCACAGAGAGUAGUUCUCUCUAGGUUCAGACAUCUUGUCACCAACCUUACAUUGGCUUUGUCAAGCUAACAUAAUAAUAAGAAGAAGAAGAAGAAGAAGAAGAAGAAGAAGAAGAGGAAGAAGAAGAAGAAGCUUAUAAACAGGAAAGAUAUAAUCGGCCCUGAUCAUCGGAUGUUUUUAAACUACUAUAAACUAAUGGCCGAUAGUGUCACAAUCUCGCCAUCAGCAGAUGGUGCUGCGGCGUCGACAUGCACGGACGGCUGCAGAGUGCACGCAUGCGAGAUCACGGAAUGAGAAAUAUUUGCUAUGGACACGUGCCUUUGUUUUGGUUCUGUUCUCUUCCUGUUGAGGCAUUGGUUGAUGUUUGAGGGUGUGUCAUUAUUAGUCCCAGCUGUCUGUGUUCAAGCAUAAUUAUGUUUGUUAUUUAAAGCCCUCAUGUUGCUGUACACUUUGCGCAGUAUUAACUGAAUAAGUAAAUGUAAAGGUGAAGACGUUUAAGUAUGCUAAGCGGUCGUGGUUUCGUGUCCUGUUUCUGUUCCAUGCCUCACAUCCAGUUUCAUGUUUAAACCUCGAUUAUCUAUUCCAGUCUAGAUCACGCUUCCAGUUUAUUACCUUCAGUUUGCAAAUAAAGACUUUGAUCUUUGGUUGCCUCUGCUUAUAAUCUCAUUCCGUAACAGAUAGCAUGAAAAAUGGCCUUCAUCAACCAAUAAUUAUAUUAUAG
This is a long non-coding RNA of Ictalurus punctatus (channel catfish), 1006 nucleotides long. Lineage: Eukaryota; Metazoa; Chordata; Actinopteri; Siluriformes; Ictaluridae. The record is from Ensembl.